ACCUGCGGAAGGAUCAUUGUCGUGACCCUGACCAAAACGGACCGUGAACAUGUUAUCCAUGCUGCCGGGUGAUGGGUCUUGCACCUGUCACUCGAGACAGGGUGCCAACCCUCUUCGGAGUUGAGGCACCCUAAAAGAACCCACGGCGCCCUAGGCGUCAAGGAAUACUGAUGCUUCCUUGCAUGGGAGUGGACCGGCUUGCCGGUUUCACCUUGUGCAAUGAUUAUAUGAUAGUCCACAUGACUCUCGGCAACGGAUAUCUUGGCUCUCGCAUCGAUGAAGAACGUAGCAAAAUGCGAUACCUGGUGUGAAUUGCAGAAUCCCGUGAACCAUCGAGUUUUUGAACGCAAGUUGCGCCCGAGGCCUUCUGGUCGAGGGCACGUCUGCCUGGGUGUCACGCCAAAAGGCACUUCGCAACAAUUGUGUUGUGGAUGUGGUAUUUGGCUCCUUGUGUGUAGUCACAGAGGGCCUAAGUACGGGCUGCCGGUGUUGCCGAUCACAGCACAAGGUGGAUAGCGAAAGUUGUUCUCGGUGCUAUGUUUUGGACUUAACUCGGAUAUACCCUUGUCACCCAUGUACCGAAUAGUACAUUGCUCGGACCGCGACCCCAGGUCAGUCGGGACUACCCGCUGAAUUUAAGCAUAUCAAUAAGCGG
Molecule: ribosomal RNA, 655 nt
Filed under: Bouteloua hirsuta
Lineage: Eukaryota; Viridiplantae; Streptophyta; Magnoliopsida; Poales; Poaceae
Also listed under: 1 other name
Description: eukaryotic LSU rRNA
Rfam family: 5.8S ribosomal RNA (bases 242-397)
Source: RNAcentral